This 213-nucleotide ribosomal RNA is filed under the name Venus casina. RNAcentral's name for it is "partial 16S ribosomal RNA". It matches the Rfam family "Bacterial large subunit ribosomal RNA", at positions 2080 to 2534 of the family's 2925-position model. Lineage: Eukaryota; Metazoa; Mollusca; Bivalvia; Venerida; Veneridae. The record is from RNAcentral.
AAAGCGAGAAGACCCUGUCGAGCUUAAUUAAGAUUGUUUGUUUUAUUUAUAAUAAUUAGAAUUUUUGUUGGGGCAACAUUGGUUAAAAUAACGACUUAAUUUUUAAACAUAGAUCCUUUUGCUGAAAGAAAAUAGCAAAAGCUACCGCAGGGAUAACAGCGUUAUCCUUUUUAAGAGAUCGAAUUGAGAAAAGGGUUUGCGACCUCGAUGUUG